AUACGGAGGGUCCAAGCGUUAUCCGGAAUCAUUGGGUUUAAAGGGUCCGUAGGCGGACAAUUAAGUCAGAGGUGAAAGCCCACAGCUCAACUGUGGAACUGCCUUUGAUACUGGUUGUCUUGAAUUAUAGUGAAGUAGAUAGAAUAUGUAGUGUAGCGGUGAAAUGCAUAGAUAUUUCAUAGAAUACCGAUUGCGAAGGCAGUCUACUAACUAUAUAUUGACGCUGAUGGACGAAAGCGUGGGGAGCGAACAGGAUUAGAAACCCUAGUAGUCC
RNAcentral lists this ribosomal RNA (274 nucleotides) under uncultured bacterium. RNAcentral's name for it is "partial 16S ribosomal RNA". It matches the Rfam family "Bacterial small subunit ribosomal RNA", at positions 523 to 796 of the family's 1533-position model. The record is from RNAcentral.